This 794-nucleotide ribosomal RNA is filed under the name uncultured bacterium. RNAcentral describes it as "bacterial SSU rRNA". It matches the Rfam family "Bacterial small subunit ribosomal RNA", at positions 8 to 796 of the family's 1533-position model. The record is from RNAcentral.
AGAGUUUGAUCCUGGCUCAGGAUGAACGCUAGCGGCAGGCUUAACACAUGCAAGUCGAGGGGCAGCACGGGUAGCAAUACCUGGUGGCGACCGGCAAACGGGUGCGGAACACGUACAGAAUCUACCUUUAUCUGGGGAAUAGCCCGAAGAAAUUCGGAUUAAUACCCCAUAAUAUAUUUAAGUGGCAUCACUUUGAAUAUUAAAACUCCGGUGGAUAGAGAUGACUGUGCGUCCCAUUAGCUAGUUGGUAGGGUAAAGGCCUACCAAGGCGACGAUGGGUAGCUGGUGUGAGAGCACGACCAGCCACACGGGCACUGAGACACGGGCCCGACUCCUACGGGAGGCAGCAGUGAGGAAUAUUGGUCAAUGGACGCAAGUCUGAACCAGCCAUGCCGCGUGAAGGAUGAAGGCGUUCUGCGUUGUAAACUUCUUUUAUCUGGGAAGAAACCUACGAUUUCUAUUGUAGCCGACGGUACCAGAGGAAUAAGCACCGGCUAACUCCGUGCCAGCAGCCGCGGUAAUACGGAGGGUGCAAGCGUUAUCCGGAUUCACUGGGUUUAAAGGGUGUGUAGGCGGGUAUUUAAGUCAGUGGUGAAAUCUCCAGGCUCAACCUGGAAACUGCCAUUGAUACUAUUUAUCUUGAAUCCUGUUGAGGUGGGCGGAAUAUAUCAUGUAGCGGUGAAAUGCUUAGAUAUGAUAUAGAACACCGAUUGCGAAGGCAGCUCACUAAGCAGGCAUUGACGCUGAGGCACGAAAGCGUGGGGAUCAAACAGGAUUAGAUACCCCGGUAGUCC